GCUCUCUGGAUCAGUGGCGAACGGGUGAGUAACACGUGAGCAAUCUGCCCCUGACUCUGGGAUAAGCGCUGGAAACGGCGUCUAAUACCGGAUACGAGCUGCGAAGGCAUCUUCAGCAGCUGGAAAGAACUUCGGUCAGGGAUGAGCUCGCGGCCUAUCAGCUAGUUGGUGAGGUAAUGGCUCACCAAGGCGUCGACGGGUAGCCGGCCUGAGAGGGUGACCGGCCACACUGGGACUGAGACACGGCCCAGACUCCUACGGGAGGCAGCAGUGGGGAAUAUUGCACAAUGGGCGCAAGCCUGAUGCAGCAACGCCGCGUGAGGGACGACGGCCUUCGGGUUGUAAACCUCUUUUAGCAGGGAAGAAGCGAAAGUGACGGUACCUGCAGAAAAAGCACCGGCUAACUACGUGCCAGCAGCCGCGGUAAUACGUAGGGUGCAAGCGUUAUCCGGAAUUAUUGGGCGUAAAGAGCUCGUAGGCGGUUUGUCGCGUCUGCUGUGAAACCCCGAGGCUCAACCUCGGGCCUGCAGUGGGUACGGGCAGACUAGAGUGCGGUAGGGGAGAUUGGAAUUCCUGGUGUAGCGGUGGAAUGCGCAGAUAUCAGGAGGAACACCGAUGGCGAAGGCAGAUCUCUGGGCCGUAACUGACGCUGAGGAGCGAAAGGGUGGGGAGCAAACAGGCUUAGAUACCCUGGUAGUCCACCCCGUAAACGUUGGGAACUAGUUGUGGGGUCCAUUCCACGGAUUCCGUGACGCAGCUAACGCAUUAAGUUCCCCGCCUGGGGAGUACGGCCGCAAGGCUAAAACUCAAAGGAAUUGACGGGGACCCGCACAAGCGGCGGAGCAUGCGGA
Molecule: ribosomal RNA, 851 nt
Filed under: Microbacterium sp. CB 286519
Lineage: Bacteria; Bacillati; Actinomycetota; Actinomycetes; Micrococcales; Microbacteriaceae
Description: bacterial SSU rRNA
Rfam family: Bacterial small subunit ribosomal RNA
Source: RNAcentral